RNAcentral lists this ribosomal RNA (424 nucleotides) under uncultured prokaryote. RNAcentral describes it as "bacterial SSU rRNA". It matches the Rfam family "Bacterial small subunit ribosomal RNA", at positions 355 to 796 of the family's 1533-position model. The record is from RNAcentral.
UGAGGAAUAUUGGACAAUGGGGGCAACCCUGAUCCAGCCAUGCCGCGUGAGUGAAGAAGGCCUUAGGGUUGUAAAGCUCUUUCAAUCGUGAAGAUAAUGACGGUAGCGAUACAAGAAGCCCCGGCUAAAUUCGUGCCAGCAGCCGCGGUAAUACGAAUGGGGCAAGCGUUGUUCGGAAUCACUGGGCUUAAAGCGUGCGCAGGCGGACUUGAAAGUCAGAAGUGAAAUCCUGGGGCUCAACCCCAGAACUGCUUUUGAAACUCCAAGUCUAGAAUCCGGGAGAGGUUGGGAGAAUUCCUAGUGUAGAGGUGAAAUUCGCAGAUAUUAGGAGGAAUACCAGUGGCGUAGGCGCCCAACUGGACCGGUAUUGACGCUCAGGCACGAAAGCGUGGGGAGCAAACAGGAUUAGAUACCCCCGUAGUCC